This 627-nucleotide ribosomal RNA is filed under the name Triticum aestivum (bread wheat). RNAcentral's name for it is "partial small subunit ribosomal RNA". Lineage: Eukaryota; Viridiplantae; Streptophyta; Magnoliopsida; Poales; Poaceae. The record is from RNAcentral.
AUGGUCAACAACAUCCACCUCAACUUCGACGCGUUGGAUGGGGUGACGGAACUCCAGGACGGCACCCCCGUCGUGCUGUGGGAGUGGCUCGAGGGGGCGAACCAGUCCUGGAAGAUCCUGCCGUGGGGCACCGACGGUGGCCUCCAUCCUGCGCUGUCCUCUGAGUGCACCAUGCGCAUCUUCUGCAGCGCCGGCGAGGAGUACAGCAUCGCCGCAAGGGACGGCGCGGUGUGCCUCGCGCCUGCGGACCCCAACGACGACCUGCAGCACUGGGUGAAGGACAUGAGGCACGGUGAAGACAUCAAGGACGAGUAUGAGCAGCCUGCGUUUGCCCUGGUGAACAAGGCCACCGGUGAAGCCAUCCAGCAUUCCCUGGAAAAGGGCCACCCUGUUCGCCUUGCGGCAUACGACCCGGACUGCCCGGACGAGUCGGUGAUGUGGACGGAGAGCGAGGACGUCGGCGACGACUUCCAUUGCAUCCGCAUGGCGAGCAACAUCCAGCUCAACUUCGACGCCGUCCAUGGCGGCGAGGACGAGAGCGUGGUGCAGGACGGCACCACCAUCAUCCUGUUUGACUGGGUCGAGGGAGACAACCAGCGCUGGAAGAUCGUUCCCUGGUGUGAGUAA